ACCUUGUGGAGGACGUGGUUGACAGAGCCAUGAGAGGAGAGAGAGAGAAAGCGUUCCCACAAAGGAGGUGGGGAAAGGGAGAAGCACACAAAAAGACUCUUUGCUACUUCCAGUUUGGACUGAAAAAAAAGCUUUGGAAGAAAACAAACUGCAGUAAGUAGGAGUAUACCCAUUAACAACUAAAACUAAAGACAAAGAUGAAGAAGACUGAAGAGGGAAUGAAAGGCAGCACAUUGGUUUUGUGUUGCGUUUUUCCUUACAGAUUAUGAUCUGAACCUGAAGAAUUCUCUCUCUUAAUCUCAGUAUGAGGGCUAAUCUCAUGCCUCGUCUGUGGAAAACUGGAUGAUGAAUUGCUCGUUUCCAGCAACAAAAACAACAGACAUUCAGGAUGGACCCCAAAGACCAAGCAGUGAAUCUUCUAAACAAGAUUUGGGCCAAGCUGCAGGGUUUGCCCAAUGCCAGCCCCGUCGAGCUCGGAGCUUUCUUCAUCCUCUUAACAUUCAUCUUGAUUGUUGUUGCCAUGGCCAUUCUGAUCUGUACAACAUACUCCUGCUGUUGCUGCUGCCGCAAGGACAAAAAGGAGGGAGGAAACAUUUGAAGGCAUCUAAACUACACCCAUCCAUUUUCUACACCACUUAACCUCAUUAAAUUAAUCUAAACCACACAUCAAAUUUAAAAGACAGAGACAACCUGUGACAGGACGCUGCCCAUGCAAAUGAGGUCAGGCAAGAUGUGUCCAGGGGGCUAGAAGAGGCCCAGCCCUCUAACAACAAAGCAACUGACACCAACACUGACGUCCUGACUGGCAGCCUAACACGCCCUCUGGAGCUGACUGUCAAGACAAUCGACAUUCCUUGGAACAGUCAUGUACAACAACAUCUCUCCUUGCUGGAUGACAAGACACAACCAACCAAAUCAUAUUUAAACAUGUAGACACAAAAACAAAAUAUGGGCAAGUCAACAUGAUGAUUUAGGUGAACAUGCUUUUUUUUUAAAUCUCAGAACAACAUGAAGUUGCACAUUAAAAACUUUUUAACUGCC
This is a long non-coding RNA of Phyllopteryx taeniolatus (common seadragon), 1041 nucleotides long. RefSeq lists it as uncharacterized. NCBI's taxonomy places the organism in Eukaryota, Metazoa, Chordata, Actinopteri, Syngnathiformes, Syngnathidae. The transcript is spliced from 3 exons. The record is from RefSeq and is a predicted model, not a curated record.